CAAUUUGUUAAGAAGGCAUGCUGUUUUGCCCUUGAUCCAAAUUCAAGUUGAUUUAUGAUCCCUUUUUAGGAUGACAAUACAAAAUAGAAAGAAUAGGAGCUAUUACAUAUAUGAUAUGUUUGGUCGCUACUUUUUGUAAUUUGGUGGAUAUGGUUACAUUUGUAAGGAAACAAGCAUCAAGAUCCUAUGCAGCAUCAUAGAUAUGCCACCAUAUAACAUGCAGAGAAAGGAGAGUAAAAGAGUCAAAG
This 248-nucleotide long non-coding RNA is filed under the name Elaeis guineensis (African oil palm). RNAcentral's name for it is "long non-coding RNA (EGUI_LNC010155)". The record is from RNAcentral. Lineage: Eukaryota; Viridiplantae; Streptophyta; Magnoliopsida; Arecales; Arecaceae.